Molecule: transfer RNA, 84 nt
Filed under: Thaumarchaeota archaeon CSP1-1
Lineage: Archaea; Thermoproteati; Nitrososphaerota
Also listed under: 1 other name
Description: tRNA-Ser
Rfam family: tRNA
About the family: Transfer RNA (tRNA) molecules are approximately 80 nucleotides in length.
Source: RNAcentral
GCAGAGGUCGCCUAGCCUGGUAGGGCGCGGGCCUUGAGAGCCUGUGUGGUUCGCCAUUCGGGGGUUCAAAUCCCUCUCUCUGCG